Molecule: ribosomal RNA, 262 nt
Filed under: uncultured prokaryote
Description: partial 16S ribosomal RNA
Rfam family: Bacterial small subunit ribosomal RNA
Source: RNAcentral
UACGUAGGGUGCGAGCGUUGUCCGGAAUUACUGGGCGUAAAGAGCUCGUAGGUGGUUUGUCGCGUCGUCUGUGAAAUUCCGGGGCUUAACUUCGGGCGUGCAGGCGAUACGGGCAAUACUUAAGUGCUGUAGGGGAGACUGGAAUUCCUGGUGUAGCGGUGGAAUGCGCAGAUAUCAGGAGGAACACCGAUGGCGAAGGCAGGUCUCUGGGCAGUAACUGACGCUGAGGAGCGAAAGCAUGGGUAGCGAACAGGAUUAGAUA